This 74-nucleotide transfer RNA is filed under the name Akkermansia muciniphila. RNAcentral's name for it is "tRNA-Gly". It matches the Rfam family "tRNA". From Rfam's summary of the family: Transfer RNA (tRNA) molecules are approximately 80 nucleotides in length. Their secondary structure includes four short double-helical elements and three loops (D, anti-codon, and T loops). Lineage: Bacteria; Pseudomonadati; Verrucomicrobiota; Verrucomicrobiia; Verrucomicrobiales; Akkermansiaceae. The record is from RNAcentral.
GCGGAUGUAGCUCAGGGUAGAGCGCAACCUUGCCAAGGUUGAUGUCGUGGGUUCGAAUCCCAUCAUCCGCUCCA